Sinocyclocheilus grahami is the source of this 100-nucleotide long non-coding RNA. RefSeq lists it as uncharacterized. The transcript has 3 exons. NCBI's taxonomy places the organism in Eukaryota, Metazoa, Chordata, Actinopteri, Cypriniformes, Cyprinidae. The record is from RefSeq and is a predicted model, not a curated record.
CAAGAUAUCAGUUUUACAAUAAAGCACACUGACAACCCACACAUACAAUUAUAACAUAAUUUUUUUCCUAUUUUUUUCUCCAUGUACAUACAUAAUUUGU